UGGGGAAUUUUGCGCAAUGGGCGAAAGCCUGACGCAGCGACGCCGCGUGUACGAUGAAGGCCUUUGGGUCGUAAAGUACUGUCAACGGGGACGAACGCCUCAGGUUGAAUAGGUCUGAGGUCUGACGGUACCCGUGGAGGAAGCACCGGCUAACUCUGUGCCAGCAGCCGCGGUAAUACAGAGGGUGCAAACGUUGCUCGGAAUGACUGGGCGUAAAGCGCGCGCAGGUGGCCCGUUAAGUCGGCUGUGAAAUCCCCUGGCUCAACCAGGGAAGUGCAGUCGAUACUGGCGGGCUCGAGUCCCGGAGAGGGUGGUAGAAUUCCCAGUGUAGAGGUGAAAUGCGUAGAGAUUGGAAAGAACACCAGUGGCGAAGGCGCUCUACUGGACCGUAACUGACACUCAGGGACGAAAGCUAGGGGAGCGAAAGGGAUUAGAUACCCCUGUAGUCC
Molecule: ribosomal RNA, 449 nt
Filed under: uncultured prokaryote
Description: bacterial SSU rRNA
Rfam family: Bacterial small subunit ribosomal RNA
Source: RNAcentral